AGUUUGAUCCUGGCUCACAUAACGCUGGCGGCGUGCCUAACACAUGCAAGUCGAGCGAGAAAGCUCCUUCCGGAGUGAGUAAAGCGGCGGACGGGUGAGUAACGCGUGAGAAUUUACCCUUUAGUGAAGAAUACCCCCGAGAAAUCGGGGCUAAUACUGCAUACGUCCCUUCGGGGAGAAAGGUGGCCUCUUUGCUGCCGCUAAAGGAUAAGCUUGCGUACUAUCAGCUAGUUGGUAAGGUAAUGGCUUACCAAGGCUAUGACGGUUAGCCGGCCUGAGAGGGUGUACGGCCACAUUGGAACUUAGAUACGGUCCAGACUCCUACGGGAGGCAGCAGUGGGGAAUAUUGCGCAAUGGGCGAAAGCCCUGACGCAGCGACGCCGCGUGGAGGAUGAAGGUCUUAGGAUUGUAAACUUCUGUUAAGCGGGAAGAAAGAUCUGCCCUUAAUAGGGGCGGGUGAUGACGGUACCGCUAGAGAAAGCACCGGCUAACUUCGUGCCAGCAGCCGCGGUAAUACGAAGGGUGCAAGCGUUAUUCGGAAUUAUUGGGCGUAAAGGGUGUGUAGAUGGUAUGUUAAGUUCGCUGUUAAAUUCUCCGGCUUAACCGGAGGCCAGCGGCGAAUACUGGCGUGCUAGAGGAUGGAAGAGAGAAGUGGAAUUCUCGGAGUAGCGGUAAAAUGCGUAGAUCUCGAGAGGAACAUCAAUGGCGAAGGCAGCUUCUUGGUCCAUUCCUGACAUUGAAACACGAAAGCGUGGGGAGCAAACCGGAUUAGAUACCCUGGUAGUCCACGCUGUAAACGAUGAUCACUAGACGUUAACUUUGUUUUACAGGGUUAGUGUCGUAGCUAACGCGUUAAGUGAUCCGCCUGGGGACUACGAUCGCAAGAUUAAAACUCAAAGGGAAUUGACGGGGGUCCGCACAAGCGGUGGAACAUGUGGUUUAAUUCGACACUACGCGAGGAACCUUACCUAGGUUUGACAUGUAUCUGACAGCUGUAGAAAUACGGUCUUUUGGGCUUCGGUUCAGACAGAUACACAGGUGCUGCAUGGCUGUCGUCAGCUCGUGUCGUGAGAUGUUGGGUUAAGUCCUCUAACGAGCGCAACUCCUACUAUCAGUUGCUAUUCGCGAAAGUGAAGCACUCUGAUGGGACUGCCUAGGAAACUAGGAGGAAGGUGGGAAUGACGUCAAGUCAGCAUGGUCCUUAUGCCUAGGGCUACACACGUGUUACAAUGGCCAGUACAAAGGGCUGCGAACCUGCGAAGGGGAGCUAAUCUCAUAAAACUGGUCUAAGUUCGGAUUGGGGUCUGCAAUUCGACCCCAUGAAGUUGAAAUCGCUAGUAAUGGCGUAUCAGCAAGGACGCGGGGAAUAGGUUCUCGGGCCUGGUACACACUGCCCGUCACACCAGGAAAGCGGUCGGUACCGGAAAUUGCCUUAGCUAACCGAAAGGAGGCGGGCACCUAAGGUAUGGGGAGUGAUUGGGGGGAAGUGGUAACAAGGUAACC
Molecule: ribosomal RNA, 1503 nt
Filed under: uncultured bacterium
Lineage: Bacteria
Description: 16S ribosomal RNA
Rfam family: Bacterial small subunit ribosomal RNA
Source: RNAcentral